UCCUUACUAUACACAUAACAUAAAUAAAUAAUUACACGCCAUACUUAAGCAUUUAAUCAGUUAUGUAAUAUUGAAUAAUCGUAUAUCUAGAGUCGAUGCACAAUUAUAGCGUAAUCUCCAACAUCUAUUUAACAAGCUAGCGUCUAUUAUUAUACAUGUAUACUUAGUAAUUUAAUACUACUGUUAAGCAGUGACACUUAAACAACGCUAACUGGAAGAAUAAUCCUGGAAAUAUAAGCCCAUCUUAAUCGUCUCUUCAAACGACUGGCUGUGUGCAUAAGACUUCAUACAAUUUGCCUGUGUUAUGUAAGAUAAAACCAGGCAACAUUUAUCACUAAUUCGUGCAAAUUCCUUUGACAUUUAACAAUAAAAAUUUACAUUUAAGAUUAUUCUUCCGACGCAGAGAUCGUGUUGCAUUUCCAUUUUACGAUUACGUCAACGUGCGGGUAUCGUUCGUACCAUUUUCCAGUCCCGACUGCAACGAGUCAUCCUUGUCCUUCCUUGAGCAGCACAGCUGCAUGCUUUCGUCUUUUACGUUUCUUUCCUGGGAACAUCGCGAAUGAAAAAUGAUGCCAGUCGCGCGCGUCGGACUUGGGCGGGUAUUACAUAAAGAAACGAGAUCAGUUCGCCGUGCGAAGGCGGCUACAGAAAGCUUUUUCCCAUAAAAAGUUGAGAGAGAGAGAGAGAGAGAGAGAGAGAGAGAGAGAGAGAGAGAAGGGGGAGGAAAGGAGAGAAUGAAAGAGAGAGAGAGAGAGAGAGGGGAACUGCCCUCGGAAACGACUUCUCCACCGAGUAGCCGGAGCUAUCCCGACGGUAUAUAAACAACGCAUGCAUAUAACGACGAUGUUGCAGGUGCUGGAAGUUAGCGGCCCAGCGGCAAAUAACGCAAAAAGUAUGACGUAUUAGAAACAGGAUUAUCAGAGCGUAAUAAUUAUUGAGGAACCGAAAAAGGAAGUGUAAAGCUGUGCGCAAUGUGAAGUAUUACGCGUACAACACUGGAUGAUAAAGCACGGAUUGGAUAAUCGCUUAUGUAUGGAGUCUCGUCAAUCCGUUCUUGACUUUUUGAUUUACAGCGUUAAAUCGUUGCGUGUAUGCAAACGAUUACGAUUAUAACGUGAACCUGCAUGAGGAUGUUAUCAUAAAAAAAAAAGUAUUUUUGCAAACACCGUGUGUAUAUUGAACACACGCAUAAUAAAUCUCUGUUUUACAGAGAUUUCUGUCAUCAGGAGAAAUUCCAGUGCUUCCCCGAAGGCUGCGUGCUGACCUCUCGCAAGCACGCGGUUAACUUCUAUGUUUGGCACGUGGCUAUUGAUUUCCCAACGGUACCGGAAACCGGAAAACUGCCGCGCUCGAAAGAGAGAAACCGAAAAGAAAAUCGGAACGCCGAACAAGAUAAAGUAAUCUUCCAAUUGUGCCAGAUAGCUGAAACAAUUGUGCAGUUUAUCCCAUUGCGUCACGAGAUACUGUUUUAACCAUGUCGAGCGGUGAAAUGCGCAAAGGGAGUAACUACCGGCAUGUAUUCGGUUUUACGAUACCAUUCUGAUGUUGCAUUAAACGCACGCCGCUCGCGAAAGUCUUCAGUGAAGUUUAUCCAUUCUCGCGAUUUACACGAGACAGGCAUUGUUUCCGUGAAAACGAGGUUUACGAGAAACUAGACAAUGUUAAUAAAUUAAUGGAGCGUGUUUUGAUAUUCUGAUCAUUACUUGCGCGAGGUGACUCGAGAAAGUUACCGUGAACCAAAUAGUCCAAGUUAAUCUCGAGGACGUUGAGGAGAUUUACGUACUUUACCUUUAGAAUGCACGGCGCACGAAUGAAACAACAGAAUGAGCCAUUAGUUCUACAAUUCUUUUUCUCUUUAUAUUCUUUUAAUUUGCGAACGGAGGAUCUCCCACGUGAUAGUCGAGCUGUCACGCGAUUUCUCGCGAAUUCUAAAUACGAUAUCACAAUGGAAUAUUAGGAGAUGCGAAUACUCUAAUGAUGGGACAAUUCUGUAUUUAUACAAAGAUAUUGCAUCUUAUUAGCCAAUAAUAUUAACAAUUAUGUAAUAUCGAAAUUAUUGCUUAUAAUUAC
Trachymyrmex cornetzi is the source of this 2070-nucleotide long non-coding RNA. RefSeq lists it as uncharacterized. Lineage: Eukaryota; Metazoa; Arthropoda; Insecta; Hymenoptera; Formicidae. The transcript is spliced from 4 exons. The record is from RefSeq and is a predicted model, not a curated record.